RNAcentral lists this transfer RNA (67 nucleotides) under Laomedia astacina. RNAcentral describes it as "tRNA-Glu". Lineage: Eukaryota; Metazoa; Arthropoda; Malacostraca; Decapoda; Laomediidae. The record is from RNAcentral.
UGUUUUUAUGGUGUAAAUAACACGUUACAUUUUCGUUGUAAAGUAGAAAUUUCUUUUCUAAAAAUAU